RNAcentral lists this microRNA precursor (129 nucleotides) under Vitis vinifera (wine grape). Its description in RNAcentral is "MIR845_2 microRNA precursor family". It matches the Rfam family "MIR845_2 microRNA precursor family". The record is from Rfam by way of RNAcentral. Lineage: Eukaryota; Viridiplantae; Streptophyta; Magnoliopsida; Vitales; Vitaceae.
AGAGCGCACAUUAAUUAUCCUUGGGUCCAUGGGAUAAACAAAAACUGCAAAAACAAGUUAGCACACCCUAUAAUGGUUCUAGCAUGAUUACUAACGCAUGACUUUGAUACCAGUUGAAGGGAAAAACCU